CAGCAUUGUGUUAUCUAGUAUUUAAUUUGUAUAAACAGUUUAUUCAUACUGAAGUAACACUGGUCUUAAUGAAACGGAAAAUGAUAUUUAGGUUAUGUUGGGCUUUGCAGCUUCGUUACGAAAUCUGUGUGAGCCAGGUUUCUCAACCUCAUCCGAUAACUGAAGAGCACAUCAAAAACAUAUGUAUGCUGCCCACCAAUUAUACAUAUUAGCCAUAGAUAAAGAAUAUAUAGUCGCCGCUUACAACUAUUGGGUCUAUCUGUACAACAUGACUUUCCAGUAUUAGCGUAAUUAUCAUAAAAUAAAAGGAUAAACCUUAAGGGUUUCACAGAACUUGUAACACACUGUGACAUGUUUUGCCACACUGUGGCAUCAUCAGACAAAUGAAUAGUGGCACUUUUAUCAGGAUGGGUUUACCUGUUUAAUGUAACUUUACUGCAUACUGGUACCUGCAUCAGAUUGUAUGUAUGGGAGUUCUUUAAAAUGUUAUUUGUAUUACUGCUUCUUUAAUUCUUAAUGAAUUAGUUAUUGUGGUAAUGGUUUUGUGGUCUUUAAUUAUUAAAGAGUUUGUGAUAGGUUUGGCAUCUUAUAUAUUUGUUUUCAAAUAAUUUAGCGGCGCAUUAAACUACUUGUAUUAAACAAUCUAAUAACACUGCAAAAUACAAUUGCAAACUUAUAAAUUAUUUUUUGUACCACAUUUUGCGAGAUUAUUCAAAUAUGUAGUUGUGAUAAAUGUUUUCGUUUUCAUGCAUGAUUUUGUAGUAGAAUACAAUCUUGCACUGUUUGCAUGAAUUUAGUGGUGCUUCUAUCAUCUCCGAUGCACUCAUGUUUAGUCGGUCGAGUGCUGUGGUGCACUUCACGUUUCUUGAGAAUUUAACUUGGUUAUUGCAUUACAAUUGAUCGGCCACUGACUAUAUUUACUAAUAGAAAAUUGUGAAUAGUUUUUCUUGUGUCUGCCGUCAAAAGAUUUAUUGGUCAUCCGUCGGGUCUCGGAGAUCGGUAGCUAGUGAAUUUGAUUGGAUAUAUUGUGUAAUUGUUAAUUUGUGUAGCUAAUCCCCGUUUGUUUUCCGUGUGAAUUUUUUUAGCGCCAGAGCAAUAACUACCAUUUUACUUUCAACAAUUUUAAUAUUUAAAAUUUAUUUUCGUUUAUUUAUUUAUUUUUGUGGUUUUAGGUGUCUAGCGGGCGAACGCGAUGUCGUAGGACAACCGUUCUUACACUAAAUUGUGUCUAGCGGGCGAACGCGAUAUCGUAGGACAACCCUUCUUACACUAAAUUUUAUAGGUGUCUAGCGGGCGAACGCGAUGCCGUAGGACAACCGUCCCGACACUAAAUUGUGUCUAGCGGGCAAACGCGAUGUCGUAGGACAACUCUUCUUACACUAAAUUGUGUCUAGCGGGCGAACGCGAUGCCAUAGGACAACCGUCCCGACACUACAUUGUAUCUAGCGGGCGAACGCGAUGUCGUAGGACAACCGUUCUUACACCAAAUUGUGUCUAGCGGGCGAACGCGAUGUCGUAGAACAACCCUUCUUACACUAAAUUGUGUCUAGCGGGCGAACGCGAUGCCAUAGGACAACCGUCCCGACACUACAUUGUAUCUAGCGGGCGAACGCGAUGUCGUAGGACAACCGUUCUUACACCAAAUUGUGUCUAGCGGGCGAACGCGAUGUCGUAGGACAACCGUUCUUACACCAAAUUGUAGGUACUAAAAUUCUCUAUCGUUUUUGUAUAUAACUUCUGAGUUUAUCUCUUGGGAAACCUACGAAAAUGCCCUUUUUCUGUUUUGCGCUCGUCUGAUUUUAGGUGGCGAACGCGAUCUCGUAGGGCAAACGUUCUCUUACCAGAUUGUAUGUUUUGAAACUUUUUAACACUUUCAUCUAUAAUUUGUGAGAUAAGCGCGCGCCACCUAUAAAAAUAAAUUAAAAGUAAGGUAAUUUAAUUGUUUCAAAUCACAAUCUUUCUGUUAUUUUCAGCAGAUAAUUUGGGUACUAGAAUAUUGGGAGUCGCGUUGUUGUUUUUAACUUACGAACAUUGUUGUUUGUCCCUCCAAUUGUGGGUCGGUUAUCAAUUCUCGUUCUUGUUUAGUCCGGUUUAGUCGUUCGUGCGCCGUGGUGUGGUGUGCACGUGUUUUGUUCAUUAAUCAAACUUCGUGACAAUUGUUUGCGUUACUAAAGAUUUUAAUUCUGUACACACUGUUAACACUGUUAAUUCAGUGUGGUGUUUUUUUGUAGGACGUGCGUGGUGGCCGUCGGAUAAAUAUGCACGCUGUUGUGUUUAUUAAUCGUGGAUUAAUUUUUGGUUCACCUGUGCGCGUGUUUCCGUUAGGAAUCAAUUAUCGUUUCGCACAUAAGAAUAACUUGGAUUUAUAAUUAAUUUCUGCAAAUGGACAACUUUAAUGCACAGAGAAAAAGUUUGUGAGUACACGAAUGGGGUUUGCAAUAUCUAUAGCUGAAGUGUUGGAGACGCGUGUAUUUUAAGGCAAGCUUUUACUACUCCCGAAUUUACUAGCUGUCGAUAUUGUUUUAUCUAUUAAAUGUAUCUAUUAUUAUUGUUGUCAAUAUAACACAAUGUAAAAUUAUAA
RNA transcript from Dalotia coriaria, 2581 nucleotides. RefSeq lists it as uncharacterized. The transcript has 14 exons. The record is from RefSeq and is a predicted model, not a curated record. NCBI's taxonomy places the organism in Eukaryota, Metazoa, Arthropoda, Insecta, Coleoptera, Staphylinidae.